GGAGAAGUCUUAAACCAAAUGGCAUUUGUGACCAAGCAGAGAAUUUUUGGAGACACCUCAUCCUCAAGUCAGUGCAUGCCCAAAAGCAAGUUCAUUUCUAACAGCGAAUUAACAGCAGAGACAUGAUCCUCCACCUUGAUCACCGGGAUUCUUGGCUCAGGGAGAAUUGUUUUCUGGAGAAAUCCUGGAGUUCAAAAAAGGCCUGAAGAAUCAUGUUGCCUACUUUAAGACAGAGAUUGGGUGGGAGGAAGGAAACCAGAUGAAUUGUGUUGCCUAAACAAUUUGUUAUGAAUUAUCCAGUCAACUGUAAGGAAAACAUAUGGACUAAAACUUCAAGAAAUUCCUCCAGCGGUUUAAAAUCCGAGCGAUGCUGAUAUUGAUCGGGUGUAUUUUAUGCAGCUUGGCUAAAUGAUGCUGCAGUGGCAGGAAAGGGCACCUGAGAGGACUGGGAUGGCAAAAAAUCCAGUGUACAAACCAGAAACUGUUUGAACUGGAGCUUAUGAUUGGGAGUGUGCAAAGUUAUUGAUAUUUUUUAAAGUGAAGGUCUUGUUUGGGAGAUAGUUAAGAACACAACUGACGCACAUUUCUAGCUCUGUUAUGCCCAUACCUAAUUGCUGCUAUGCACUAUUCCUGCGAAAGUUUAAUUUUUGCUGUUGAAAUUGCCUUUCUCAGCUUUUUCUUCAAUGGUUGAAGGAGAACACUGAACAAUGAGUUGACAAAGACUGAAAAAAGAUGUAUUUGCAUGGAAAUUACAGACCUUGAUGUUGAGGGCUCUCAAAUUCUAUAAACAAAAUAUACACUUAUGAUAGUAAUGGAAAAACUAUCCCCAAAAGGAAAACGUGAGAGUUUCAGAAUUUCGGCAAAAACCAAAAAGAGCCAUUUUCAUUCCAGCAGAAGCCUUCAAAAUGCUGUGUUUUAUUCAGACUCUGGGAAGAACAGCUGAGCCCUCUGAAUGCCCUCUGCCUCCCGAGGAGCCGAGGCUCCUCCUGCCGUGCCCCCGAUGGGCUGGGACGGGGCUGUGCCCUCCCCACGAAUGCCACCACCAAUUAAACCACGGUGAUGCAAAUGCAGAGCACGGCGCAGGGAACUCUGCUGCCUGCAUAAUGGCCGCCAUCGCCACCUGCAUCCCGUCACUCUCCUCCAGAGCACUGAAAUUACCCCUGGGACCAGUUUCUUGGUGGGACACCCCCCGGCACCACCGCCUCCAGCAAGAGUCAUUAAAAGACUUUGAAGUUCACUGGGGGUGCAGAACUCACGGCCCUGUGCCAGGAAGGGGUGCGGGCGGGCGGCCUGGCGGCGACGCGGUGGAGAUGCGCGGUCCCUGGUGCAGCAGCAGCGCAUGGCCGAGCUCCAGCACCGCGCCGGGAUCCUGCAGAGCUGAGCAGGGCAGAGGCGGAGCACGACGGGAGCGUUCAGCAGAGCCCACGUCAGCGGGGCCGCGGUGCGGAUGGGCUGCGUCGGGGCCGGCCUUAUUCCUCCUCCUUGAUUUGAUAGCCACGGAUGGGUGUUUACACUGAAGCUUCAAUGGAAGGAGGGGGAGCACUUUAUUAAAUUUCUGAAAUUCAUUUAAGUGGGGAUAGCGUAAUGAAUUGCCAGAUCUCAUGCGCACGGUGUCCCCGGAAGCAACAAUAAUUUAGGCGGACGUAAACCAAUAUGUAGAUUAAAAAUGUUUAAGCCAAGUGUCGUAAAAUAUAUAAAAACAUAAGGCAGAAUUAACAUAUCAAACUUUAGCAUUAUAAGUAAUGACGGGUCAGAUAUAAGGUUAUGUCUGCAAAAUUGCAUUUCAAUAUAAUAAAUCCAUUCAAACUCUGUCCGGAGACA
This is a long non-coding RNA of Numida meleagris (helmeted guineafowl), 1821 nucleotides long. Lineage: Eukaryota; Metazoa; Chordata; Aves; Galliformes; Numididae. The record is from Ensembl.